UACGUAGGGCGCAAGCGUUGUCCGGAAUCAUUGGGCGUAAAGAGCUCGUAGGCGGCCUGUUGCGUCCGCUGUGAAAUCCCCGGGGCUUAACCCCGGGCGUGCAGUGGAUACGGGCUGGCUGGAGGCAGGCAGGGGAGAACGGAAUUCCCGGUGUAGCGGUGAAAUGCGCAGAUAUCGGGAGGAACGGCCGGGUGGCGAAGGCGGUUCUCUGGGCCUGUACUGACGCUGAGGAGCGAAAGCGUGGGGAGCGAACAGG
Molecule: ribosomal RNA, 256 nt
Filed under: uncultured bacterium
Lineage: Bacteria
Description: partial 16S ribosomal RNA
Rfam family: Bacterial small subunit ribosomal RNA
Source: RNAcentral